AAGUCGUAACAAGGUUUCCGUAGGUGAACCUGCGGAAGGAUCAUUAACACUUUUUUGAAAGCAUCCAAUAUCAACAAAUGACAACCAAACGGUCAACUAUCUCCUCCCUAUUUCGCACACCGGAGACGGUACGAGUAGGCUAACAUGUAAAUAACAAGCACAAGCUCAAGCAAUUGCGCAUGCGCAUGUUAUUUUCAAACCCAAGAUAACCCCUUUUAAUUAUAUUAUUCAUUUAAUAUAAACGAACAACUCUUCGAAUUUGCCCUUUCAUUGUUUUUCAAUGAAUAACAAAAACGAACUAAACUAAAAUAUACAUUCGAUAUAUUUUUAUUUUACGAAAUAAUAUUAUAUUUAUAAGAACAACUCUUAGCAAUGGAUAUCUUGGUUCUC
RNAcentral lists this unclassified non-coding RNA (390 nucleotides) under fungal sp. Its description in RNAcentral is "partial internal transcribed spacer region". The stretch from base 1 to 46 matches the Rfam family "Eukaryotic small subunit ribosomal RNA", at positions 1786 to 1831 of the family's 1831-position model. The record is from RNAcentral. Lineage: Eukaryota; Fungi.